AGUGAACGCUGGCGGUAGGCCUAACACAUGCAAGUCGAACGGCAGCACAGUAAGAGCUUGCUCUUACGGGUGGCGAGUGGCGGACGGGUGAGGAAUACAUCGGCAUCUACUUUUUCGUGGGGGACAACGUAGGGACACUUACGCUAAUACCGCAUACGACCUACGGGUGAAAGCAGGGGAUCUUCGGACCUUGCGCGAUUGGAUGAGCCGAUGUCGGAUUAGCUAGUUGGCGGGGUAAAGGCCCACCAAGGCGACGAUCCGUAGCUGGCCUGAGAGGAUGAUCAGCCACACUGGAACUGAGACACGGUCCAGACUCCUACGGGAGGCAGCAGUGGGGAAUAUUGGACAAUGGGCGCAAGCCUGAUCCAGCCAUACCGCGUGAGUGAAGAAGGCCUUCGGGUUGUAAAGCCCUUUUAUUAGGAAAGAAAAGCAGCAGGUUAAUACCCCGCUGUUCUGACGGUACCCAAAGAAUAAGCACCGGCUAACUUCGUG
RNAcentral lists this ribosomal RNA (492 nucleotides) under uncultured bacterium. RNAcentral's name for it is "partial 16S ribosomal RNA". It matches the Rfam family "Bacterial small subunit ribosomal RNA", at positions 29 to 507 of the family's 1533-position model. The record is from RNAcentral.